RNAcentral lists this unclassified non-coding RNA (1315 nucleotides) under Melitaea cinxia (Glanville fritillary). RNAcentral's name for it is "misc RNA ENSMCXG00005021591.1". Lineage: Eukaryota; Metazoa; Arthropoda; Insecta; Lepidoptera; Nymphalidae. The record is from RNAcentral.
UAUUGAUAACUAAAGUUUCACUUCGCACUUCAUAUGAAAAAGAAAAUGUUAAUAUAAAGGGAUGGACAAACAAACAAAUUAGUCAUUAUAUCAGCAGAGAGAGAUUAUUUAAUUAAACAGAUUAUAAUUUCUUAUCCAUACGAAUAUUGUAAAUUUGACAUAAACUUUGUCUGUUACGCUUUCACGCUUCAACUACUUAAACUAUUUUGAUUAAAUUUUGGUUCUGAGAUAGAGUCGACCUUGGGGAAUGACGUAUUCUUCCUUUACUGCGAAAAAGAGGCUUAUAGGAAAGGCGUCAAUACAUGACUUCAUCAUUAUAAAGCCAGUCAAAUAUUCUGCGGGAAAGUAUUUACUCUAGGGCCAAAAGGGCCACGGGUACCAAUUUCCCGGGAUGUGAUAUGAAAAUCAUACGAAAAAGGCGUCCGAAAAUAUAAGUCAGCCGAAAAAUCCCUAAAUAAAUCGACAAUUAUUCGACAAAAACUCACGUCCCUAUACGCUGCUUUUGCUUUUAUUGGCCUGGGGCCCUGAACCCUAAAAUACGGAACUGCGUGAAGAAAAAUUAUACUCUGCUAUCAAUAUAUGCAUCAGAGCGCCAUCUAUCGCACACAAAAUAAACUUUAAUAUUAAUUAUCACAUUUUAAAAUAAUAAUAUAAAUAAUUUUAAAGAUAACUUCAUAGUAACACAACUGCCAUAUAAUUGUUUAAUAAAUAAAUUUAAUUUUAAUAUUUAAUAAUAAUAGACAUUAAUUAUUUAUAUAAUACUUAAAUCUGGAAUUUUCAAAUAUUUAAUAAAGUUCAACCUCCUGAUAAAUCCUAUCAUCGACUUAUGUGCUAGAUAAACUAUGAGGUAUCAGUGCAACAGACCCAUAAACAUGAGUACUAAGUCUGACAUCAAGAAAAAUGUCAAAUCUCUCUGAAUUAAUACUCAAAUGAAGUAUAAUACUCAAGUCACUAAGUGAAGGUACUUAGUUUUCCAAUUAAAGAAGGCAUAUCUUUAGUCAACACUCAAACUUUUCUGCCGAGUUAUAAUAUUUAAUUUCUUGCAAUGUAUGUUUGUUGGGUAGGAAUUUUGCAAAUCAAUUUUGUAGCAUAUAUCUUCAACCGAAUGAGCCGAAAUUUUGUGUACACGCUUAUUUUUGAUAACAAUGCAUGGCUAUAAACUGUUUGAAUACUAAUUUGGUAAUAUAUUGCAUGAAAUACAGCGUCACUGAGUCAACAAAUCUUUAUCAGCUAUGUUAUCCUGCACCGAAUAAUACGCUUUAUCUAUUAAUUUCAAAAUUGUGAUUUUAUUAUACAUGCGAAUACCAUAACCCAG